AUGGAUUCAGACACACUGCAAACCUUCCAGAGGGAGCUCUGUUGCUUUAUCUGCAGGAACUACUUAAUGGACGCAGUCACCAUUGACUGUGGGCAUAGCUUUUGCAGGCCCUGCCUUUAUCUAUGCUGGGAGAAAGGCCAAGCUCCAGCGGUCUGUCCUGUGUGUGGGAAAAUCCCCUAGAAGACUGACUUCAACACAAAUAUUGUUCUCAAGAAGUUGGCUUCUCUUGCAAGGCAGCGCAGACCUCACAACAUCAACAGCUCAGAGAAGCAGAUCUGUGUGCUACAUGAAGAGGAAAAGGGGCUCUUCUGUGAGGCAGAGGAGAGACUCCUCUGUGGGCCCUGCUCUGAGUCACCAGAGCAUGAGGCUUAUGGCCACAGCCCAAUAUGAUGGGCUGCUGAGGAGUGCAGGCAGGAGAAACUUCUGAAGAAAAUGGAUCCUUUAUGGAGGAGAACUCAAGAAAUGCAAAACAAUCUAAAUCAGGAAAUUAGCAAAAUCCAUUCAUUAACGGUAGGGAUAAAAAGGUUUUAUAUUUUUAAUGUAGAUUGGCACAAUGCUAGCUUAGACUUCUUAGCUGAAUCUCUGCAGGACUAUGUGGCCCUCAGGAAAGGGAUGAUCAGAUAUCAAUAUCAAAAGUUGCGCCAAUUUCUCCUGGAGGAGGAGCAACGCCAUCUGGAGACAAUGGACAGAGAAGCAGAAGAGAUUUUUCGACAACUCCAAAACAGUGAAGUAAGAAUAACUCAACAUAUAAAAAAGAUGAAAAACAUGUACAGAGAGCUGUGGGAGAUGUGCCACAUGCCCGAUGUGAAGCUGCACCAG
Molecule: long non-coding RNA, 819 nt
Filed under: Homo sapiens (human)
Lineage: Eukaryota; Metazoa; Chordata; Mammalia; Primates; Hominidae
Description: non-protein coding lnc-TRIM64C-2:1
Source: RNAcentral